UACGUAGGGUCCGAGCGUUGUCCGGAAUUAUUGGGCGUAAAGGGCUCGUAGGCGGUCUGUUGCGUCGGGAGUGAAAACUUACAGCUUAACUGUGAGCGUGCUUUCGAUACGGGCAGACUUGAGGCAUUCAGGGGAGAACGGAAUUCCUGGUGUAGCGGUGAAAUGCGCAGAUAUCAGGAGGAACACCUAUUGCGAAGGCAGCUCGCUGGGACGUAACUGACGCUGAGACGCGAAAGCGUGGGGAGCAAACAGG
This 253-nucleotide ribosomal RNA is filed under the name uncultured bacterium. Its description in RNAcentral is "partial 16S ribosomal RNA". It matches the Rfam family "Bacterial small subunit ribosomal RNA", at positions 524 to 776 of the family's 1533-position model. The record is from RNAcentral.